Molecule: transfer RNA, 73 nt
Filed under: Navicula veneta
Lineage: Eukaryota; Bacillariophyta; Bacillariophyceae; Naviculales; Naviculaceae
Description: tRNA-Met
Rfam family: tRNA
About the family: Transfer RNA (tRNA) molecules are approximately 80 nucleotides in length. Their secondary structure includes four short double-helical elements and three loops (D, anti-codon, and T loops).
Source: RNAcentral
GGCUCUGUAGCUCAGCGGUUAGAGCAGGGGAUUCAUAAGCCCAAGGUCGUAGGUUCAAAUCCCACCAGAGCCA